GAUCAUUACCACACGUAAAAAACUUUCCACGUGAACCGUAUCAACCCUUUUAGUUGG
RNAcentral lists this ribosomal RNA (57 nucleotides) under Phytophthora capsici. Its description in RNAcentral is "partial 18S ribosomal RNA". The record is from RNAcentral. Lineage: Eukaryota; Oomycota; Peronosporomycetes; Peronosporales; Peronosporaceae.